AAUCAUCCCCAAGUAUAACAAGAGACGAACAGUUAGUGCUGAUUUUCAUUUGCAUAAAUUUUCAUAUAUUUUAGUGAAAAUAAUAGCGGGAGCCGAGGAGUGCUCCUGCUCAGUUGAGGCAGAGGAAAGAAAAUCUUAGGGAGCACCGAGACGUAGGAAAGGGAGAUAACCGUUUACAGGCUGCGUGGGAACAAUGUGAAGCUAUUUCCCCCUUUUCUUGGACGCAAGGAGAGACACCGUCCCCCUGGUGCACACACACCACACAGCAAACUUUGGUCCUCCUCUGUGACACCCCAGCCCCCCUCCCCAUCCUCCUCCUCCUCCUCCUCCUCCUCCUCCUCCUCCUCCUCUGCCUCCCCCCCGAUGCACCACCUCUGGAGAUCCCAGCAGGUAUCCUGCGAGAACUUGACUGUCCUCUUUAUCAGAUCCCACCGUUUCUCGCACGUCUCCACCGGAUUUGGCUCCAGAAGCUUUACCUGUGACUGACCUGCUGCGCAUGUGUCUCAGGUGUGAUGGGACGUCUUCAUACAUGCAGACGGGAGCUGGCAGAGGGGCAAGUCGACGGCAGCGGAUUGGUUCAGCACCGCCGUACCUUCAGGGAUGCUUGCACAUGAAUCUGUGUGUGCAGUGAGGAAAAAGAAGGUGGUGGGGGGGGGACAAACAGACUUCCAGUGUAUGACAGCUAUAUCCCAUUUUGGCUUAGUUAGUUAUUCAUUCAAACAUCAUUAGCCGUACUUAUCAGAUUAGUUGGAGAAAGGGAUUAGCUUGAUUGUGGAAUACUUGGAUACCGAUUCUGAGAGUGAGUGAUCGCUGGUUUGUUCUACUUUUGACUUGACACAAUAAUAAA
Molecule: long non-coding RNA, 847 nt
Organism: Mugil cephalus (flathead mullet)
Lineage: Eukaryota; Metazoa; Chordata; Actinopteri; Mugiliformes; Mugilidae
Exons: 3
Source: RefSeq, a predicted model, not a curated record